This 442-nucleotide ribosomal RNA is filed under the name uncultured bacterium. RNAcentral describes it as "partial 16S ribosomal RNA". It matches the Rfam family "Bacterial small subunit ribosomal RNA", at positions 338 to 795 of the family's 1533-position model. The record is from RNAcentral.
CCUACGGGUGGCAGCAGUGGGGAAUAUUGGACAAUGGGCGCAAGCCUGACCCAGCGACGCCGCGUGAAGGAAGAAGGCUUUCGGGUUGUAAACUUCUUUUAUCAGGGAAGAGUAGAAGACGGUACCUGACGAAUAAGCCACGGCUAACUACGUGCCAGCAGCCGCGGUAAUACGGAGGUGGCAAGCGUUGUCCGGAUUUACUGGGUGUAAAGGGCGUGUAGACGGGUGGACAAGUCAGUUGUGAAAUCCUGCGGCUUAACCGCAGAACUGCAUUUGAAACUGUUGAUCUUGAGUACUGGAGAGGCAGACGGAAUUCCUAGUGUAGCGGUGAAAUGCGUAGAUAUUAGGAGGAACACCAGUGGCGAAGGCGGUUUGCUGGACAGCAACUGACGGUGAGGCGCGAAAGCGUGGGGAGCAAACAGGAUUAGAUACCCGAGUAGUC